This is a non-coding RNA of Arachis ipaensis, 2134 nucleotides long. The record is from RefSeq and is a predicted model, not a curated record. NCBI's taxonomy places the organism in Eukaryota, Viridiplantae, Streptophyta, Magnoliopsida, Fabales, Fabaceae.
ACAUGAAAGGGUCUAAAUGAAAAAACCAAAUUAUUUGGGGUUCCCUAAUAGAUUACCGAUGUGCUGUAUGCAGGCCUCCGGCAAGCAACACCCGAAAAAGGUCCACAUCCAGAUUUGAAUUCUCGAAACCUCCGGUCACCGUCCAAGUUAGGUCACCGACUCCUUCUGACUCAACGCCUUCCUGUGCCAGGCGACCAAACCCCCACCCCUCAAAUAGCUUACCUAGGCGAACCGAUGCCCAUCCAUGCCAGUCCGCUGCCCGUACCGAAUCCUCAUGCGCCGGCGUUGCAAAUGAGUGCAGGCCCGUAUCACUGAGUGUGGUUACUAGCGUAUUCGGGUUGAAUAAGAAAUAUAAAGGCUCACCGAAUGCAUAUGCCAACAUAAUGAAGUGGUGGUAGAUUUUCGGAAUGCGUUGAUAAUGCUGGCGAAGAUUCAUAAUAAGGAGCAUCAGCAUCAUCCGAGUAUUGCAGUUAGGUGCUCGUGCCAGAAUAGCAUGCCAUCAAAGUGGCGGCUACGAAUAGAGGGUGUUGCAAACGAUGAUGAUCACCUUCCAGAGACGACCCCGGUGGACGGUGAUGAUCCGACCUAUGCGCCCACGUUGGAUGCAAACUUCAGCAUGAACCAUAUGCCUUUCAGAUCUAAGAGGUCGAAGAGAGCCACUCGCAAUCGACGGUCUGCCCGUGACAAAACCCAACUAACGAAGCCCGCUAACUUGGUUGAUCUUACCGGCGAACGCGAUCGGGAGACUCGACGGCCUAGUCGUGGCCGGAGCAAGUCGCUGUGACGCUCUACCUCUCUUUAGAAACACUAUAAUUAUCUUGCCCUGAUUGGUAGUGACGGCGUUGUCCACGAGUCAGAACUGUUAUGCAUGAAUGCAGAGAAGAUUCCCAAGACUUUCAAUCUAGCGUUCGAUCCAACACGGUGCAUGGACCUCGCAGGGGUUGGACUCGCUGUUGCAACAUACAUCUUCAGCAAGGAUCUACCAAGAGUGAAAUUCUGGCUGACGUCGGUCACUGUGUUACGGACAGAACGUUACUGACGCUUGUCCCGAAUGAAAGGGUUAUGGAUAAUGUAAUUACCGUCGUGAUCACGAUGUUGUCGAAGACCUCUAGUAGUCACCACUGGUUUAUGCCGACAAUGAUCAUGAUUUUUCAACCUAUAUGGACAGAUGGACAUUGGUACUUGAUGGUGGUGGACCUACGACGACAAAAGCUAGUAUACUUUGACUCAUUGAAGUGUACAAGGGAGACGGAGUCCAAAAAACUUUCUAUGACGCAUGUGGCACUUCACCUUGAGUCGCUAACCAUUGGACCCAAGUGGCUAUCCAAGAGCACUAUGGAACGACCACGAUUCUCUUUGUUCAAGUACGAAGAGCCUUUUGUGCCUCAGCAACAUCGACUUUCAUGAGUUGUUACUCUUCCUCAUACACCGUGAUCUGUUGUCGUCAUGUUUUUCUUACUUGUUGGCUAGUUUUUUUCGUCGAGAGCACUUAUACAAGCUAUUCACUUAUUUAAAAAAACUGAAUUUGUGUGUGACAUGGAAUAAGAUGGAUUGCGGGAUAUGGGUCUUGCAAUGGAUGAUUAGGGGAGCUCUAUGGGCUAUCCACAGUAUUACAAUGGGUAUUUAAUAAAAACAAAUGGCAGCGAAUGAUCAAAAUUGGAUGCGACUAGCCCUCGAUCUUGUAUUGAGGUCACACAAUGUGAAUGCCAUCGAUAUCGUGGAAAAGGCAAUGCGUUACUGGACAAAGAAGGCUGCGUCAUCACGACACAGACGUGAACGAUAGAGUCAACAAGUGAUAACCUUUUUUUGGUGUGGUUUUGUGGCGACUUCCGUCCAACUUUUUUGGGUAACUACUCCGGAUAUGGGCAUUCAGACUUGGUGAUCAUCAUAACCAAAGAAGACAUUGACAUGCGCAACUUAUUUUGUAUUUUUUUUUUACCAGCCGGCAAGUGUCUCACUAAAUCGCAUGGGACAACUCGUACGAAAAACCCUUUUACAAGGAGAGGAGUUUCCCACCCGAAUGCAGUUAACAUGUUUCCCUUUUGAAACCCAUAUCCGGGUUGGAAACUAUACGUCUAAUUAAACAAAUAGCAAUGUGACAAUGCCUUUCAGAAAUUGUUAUGAUAAUAUUUUA